Molecule: long non-coding RNA, 479 nt
Filed under: Salvia miltiorrhiza (redroot sage)
Lineage: Eukaryota; Viridiplantae; Streptophyta; Magnoliopsida; Lamiales; Lamiaceae
Description: long non-coding RNA (SMIL_LNC009158)
Source: RNAcentral
UGUAAUGCUUUCACUUGCUGACAAGCUAAGCAUCGCUCUACAAACGAAGCUAUGUCUUGUUUCAUUCCGUCCCACAAAAAUCUCUUUUUCAAAUCCCGAUACAUCUUUGUGCCUCCUGAGUGGGCGGUGUAAGGCGUGUCGUGAGUCUCACUCAUGAUCUUAUUCUUAAGUUCAUCAUCGCGGGAAUGCCUAUUCUCCCCUCAAAUAAGAUAGCAUUGUCUGAUGUUAUUUUUUUUUUUUUUUUUUUAACUUCUUGAGAUCUCCUGCUCUUAUCCUUUCUCGUAACUUGUUCAUUGUCUCAUCUUUCCUUGUGCUUCAAUCACCAUUUUCCUCAAACUAUGCAUCGUCGCAACAAUACUCGCUAUCGUCCCUGGUGGUUUUAUCAUCUCUAUCCUCAUCUUGUCAAAGUCAUUUAUAAGCUCAUCCUCUCUCAUGAGAAGACAUCCUAACUUUGACGAGACCUUUCGGCUCAAUGCAUC